UGACUGACUGAAGAGUUUGAUCCUGGCUCAGGAUGAACGCUAGCUACAGGCUUAACACAUGCAAGUCGAGGGGCAGCAUGGUUGUAGCAAUACAACCGAUGGCGACCGGCGCACGGGUGAGUAACACGUAUCCAACCUGGCCUUUACUCGGGGAUAGCCUUUCGAAAGAAAGAUUAAUACCCGAUGGCAUUUGGUUUCCGCAUGGGAACUUUCUUAAAGAUUUAUCGGUAAAGGAUGGGGAUGCGUUCCAUUAGGCAGUUGGCGGGGUAACGGCCCACCAAACCGACGAUGGAUAGGGGUUCUGAGAGGAAGGUCCCCCACAUUGGAACUGAGACACGGUCCAAACUCCUACGGGAGGCAGCAGUGAGGAAUAUUGGUCAAUGGACGCAAGUCUGAACCAGCCAAGUAGCGUGAAGGAUGACCGCCCUAUGGGUUGUAAACUCUUUUAUAAGGGAAUAAUUGAGGUACGCGUACUUUUUGUAUGUACUUAUGAAUAACAUCGGCUAACUCGUGCANCAGCGCGGUAAACGGAGGAUGCAGCGUUACCGGAUUAUUGGGUUAAAGGACUAGGGGUUUUAAUAUUGUAAGUUCGUCACCGUA
RNAcentral lists this ribosomal RNA (600 nucleotides) under uncultured bacterium. Its description in RNAcentral is "bacterial SSU rRNA". It matches the Rfam family "Bacterial small subunit ribosomal RNA", at positions 1 to 599 of the family's 1533-position model. The record is from RNAcentral.